GUAUCAAAAGCAAGACAUAAUAGAAUAAUAAAUACUCCGCGUAAUAUUUGCUAGACCUAAAACAGUUAGCACUAUUUUACUAAUAAAUAAUAUUAUAUAUAUACUUGAAAAUGAUGGCAGACCUUGCUUUGGCCAUGGUGGCGGCAGUGCUUUUGGUGCUGGGGCCUGGGGCAUGUUCCAUGGAGUGAUAAUUCAGUUAGCCAGCACAUUGAUUUGAUGCUCGCUGAAAUGAGAGGUUUCAAGUUUCUUGUCACUGAUGGGGAAUCCUAGAUACUUCAUUGGGAAUUUACCAAGCCUGCAGUUCAACAUGUUGGCAAUUUGUUGCCUCUCAGCAGAUACAUCAAAUUUUUACCUUUCCUAUGGUAAUGGGGGUGUGAAGAAACAAAAUGUCAAGUACUUCACGAACUGAUCACAACGUAGAAUGCUCAUAUUUUGCUAGAUUUUGGAUGUAAAGAUGGAGAAUUAUGAUUGUCUGAUUUCAUAAUAAAAUAU
Molecule: long non-coding RNA, 492 nt
Organism: Panicum virgatum (switchgrass)
Lineage: Eukaryota; Viridiplantae; Streptophyta; Magnoliopsida; Poales; Poaceae
Exons: 3
Source: RefSeq, a predicted model, not a curated record